This is a non-coding RNA of Dipodomys ordii (Ord's kangaroo rat), 73 nucleotides long. Lineage: Eukaryota; Metazoa; Chordata; Mammalia; Rodentia; Heteromyidae. The record is from Rfam.
GGGAAGGUGGCUCAGUGGUAGAGUGCUUGCCUUGCAUGCAUGAGGCCCUGGGUUCGAUUCCUCAGCUUAAGCA